RNAcentral lists this long non-coding RNA (1179 nucleotides) under Anas zonorhyncha (Eastern spot-billed duck). RNAcentral's name for it is "lncRNA (ENSAZOG00000013549.1)". Lineage: Eukaryota; Metazoa; Chordata; Aves; Anseriformes; Anatidae. The record is from RNAcentral.
AUGAAACGUGAGAAUAAGUGCUGCAGACUCUGCGAAAACACUUUGAAAAGACUUAAAACUACUGAAUUGGGGUUUGAAGUGAGAAACUACGGGAGGAUUUUUGUAUCUGUUCCUUUACACUCCGAUGAUGAGAUAGGGGCCAGAUUCAUCCCUGUAUCAUCUGGUGCUGCAGGCUUCUUCUGGUGUAACGGCUGCAGCUGGAGCAGUGCUGUGCUGUAGGACUUCUGAUAGGUGCUGCAAGCAGCCUGGGAAGGGCUCGGGGUAAAUGUUCGGAUGUUUCAGAAUUGCCUUAUUGAAGCAGAGACUGAGAAGCAAACUUAAAUUUUGCGAGAACCUUUGUGAAGGCAAACUCAUGCAGGUUCUGUAAAAAGUGCUGUGUCUGAGAAAAGAUUUAUACAUUUUUUCUUGUGUUAAUUAACAGAUUGGGUGAAUUAUAUGAUAUAAUAUGAUUAUGAUUUAAUUGAUAUGAUUAUGAUGUGAAUGAUAUGAUAUAAUAUGAUAUAUGAUAUGAUAUGAUAUAUGAUAUGAUAUAUGAUAUGAUGUGAUAAACUGCUUGGGAUCCCAAUUAUACAGAUAUUUAAAUGUCUGUCCACAGUUCAUCUCCUCAGUUCUCUUCAAGAGAUGAGCAUCUGAAAACCUAAAUGGAAAGCAGAAGAAACAUGUCUUGACUUCAGCCCCUAUCUUUGCUCCCGCAUUUAUCUCACAUUGCUCUGAUGAGGUCAAAGGAUGGCAGAGAUGUAUCCAAAGGCACGAUCGAGCCUUUUAUCAAUGCAACAGAAAUGUAAAGGUGGUUUGUCAGACAGCAGGACCAGAUCCUUGCCCAGAGCAAGUAGCUUUAAUGUGUCGACUUGGGAUUGAGCUGUUACACUUGACUUGGGGUGACUGGGGGUCCCCGUUUCGUGAUGGCUGUUAAUGCAUUUGUUUAAAAUGUUUUAUUUCACUUUUCAUGCCAAAUAUGCUAGGAAAAGAGUGCUUUCCUUGUGACAGAUUUCAUUUCAAACGGGGCUUGUGCUGAAUGAGUUGAGGCCACUAAAUUCAUUUCACUGAGGAGCAGAGAGUGGAUGAAAUGAGAUCCUAAACAGGAAAGAUCAAUACUUUAUUUACUACAAUAAACCCUAAACCCAAGUUUAUCAUUAACUAGUCUUAUUUUCUGUUCAUAUUUGUUGUUGUGGUCUGACG